RNAcentral lists this ribosomal RNA (434 nucleotides) under uncultured bacterium. RNAcentral describes it as "partial 16S ribosomal RNA". It matches the Rfam family "Bacterial small subunit ribosomal RNA", at positions 29 to 507 of the family's 1533-position model. The record is from RNAcentral.
AGCGAACGCUGGCGGCAGGCCUAACACAUGCAAGUCGAACGAACCUUCCGGGGUUUGUGGCGGACGGGUGAGUAACACGUGGGAACGUUCCUUUAGGUUCGGAAUAACUCAGGGAAAGUUGUGCUAAUACCGAAUGGGCCCUUCUGGGGAAAGAUUUAUCGCCUCUAGAGCGGCCCGCGUCUGAUUAGCUAGUUGGUUGAGUUAAUGGCUCACCAAAGCGACGUUCAGUAGUUGGUCUGUGAGGAUCGUCCGACACAUUGGGACUGAGACACGGCCGAAACUCUUCCGCGAUGGGGGAGUGGGGGACCGUGCGACAUCGCGGGAGGGAUGAAGGUGCCAGGACGGGUAAACGAUGAUGGUAUUGAGAUUGUAAAAUUCUUUCAACUAUGACCAUCAUGACGGUACCUAGAGAAAAAGCCACGGCUAACUACGUG